UUAUGUUCUAAUAUGUUCGAACAACCUUCCAAAUUGGUUUUUUAAAUGGUGCAAAUCAUACGGUCCACCAUUGGAAAUACUUCCUCCAAUUUUUAAGAGUUUAUAUACUCAAUGGGUAGACAUAUCACCAAAGAUUAUUUCCUUACAAAAAGAUAAUAUCUUUUAUGAUGGCAUAGCAGCCAUGCUUUUAUUUAUAGAAUUUUCAAUCCCUUGGAUAAUGAAAUGGGAUGUGGAAACUAGUCAUACCGAAGAAGGAUUCCCAUGUCUCAAUAGAAUUUUUAUACAAAAUUCUGGAGUAAAUUACUCCAACCAGAUCAACAAGGCAAAAUCUAUGGCGAAGAACUAAUAGAGGAAAUCAAGGCCAAAAUUGAGACUUAUGCCAAUCAAGAGGUAGCAAAAGUUGCAGUGGAAGAAUUGAGCCCAUUCCAACAAGUUACCAGAAAACUCAAAUGAAGAAAGGAGCAAUCUCCAAAAAAGAAAUCCUCGCCUCGUAUUUUGAGGAAAUAAAGAAAGAUUUAGCAAGAUUUUGAGGUUGAAGUUAGCGAUAAUAUAUCAAUGACUUCCAUAGGUAAUACUUCAGAAGAAGAGACCUGUAUAGCAGGUGAAGCUCAAAGAAGCCAGACUGACAAUCUUAGUCUAGAAGAAAUUGAAGAAUUCCUGGCAAAGAUGAAGGAAGGAGCAGAAGAAUCUUCUGCGAGAAAAAACAACAAAGGGAAAAAUAAAGUAUAAAUUAUUAAAGGCACAGAUCAAUUAUCGGGGUGAUAGAGACAAACAUUAAUAAAGUAAUGAACCCCUCCAUUAUUGAAGAAUCUACUUUUAUAAAGUAGUUUGUCUAGUUGUAAUAAUUUAGUUUUUGUUUUUUAUCUUGUCGGCGGACUACAUUAUUAUGCCGGCCAUAGUACUGAUAGAUUUUUGUUUUUUUUAGAACCAAUCCAUUAUAUAAGGAUCUGAUUUCUUUAGUGAGAGGCAGGCUUUAGCCAACGCUCUCUCUUCUCUCUAACUUCUUUCUUGUACAAAUACUCUUUGUAAAAAUUUCAUAUUAUAAAUCAGAAAAGGUCAUUUGGCCACAAACAGGCGGUCUCAGUGAGCACCAGUGCGGGAGAGGCAUCUGAAAGUCAUAUCUUAAGGUCCAUUUGCUAAAUGCUGGAUGAGUCAGCAUAUCAGAUUCUGUCGAUAUUCAAGGCAUGUCAAUUGUCAUGCACUCGAGGUGGUUCCAUAGCAGGCAGUGCAGAUCGCAGCUAGUGGCGCACCCUCUUUCCAGCUGACUUGGUGAGCCCCACAUCAUUUCGGGGUCCUGUACCUUUUGUAUCUUUUGUUCACCUUCUUAUCAUGUUUUGAGGUAUACCCGGGGCCUUGUUGCCGGUGCUUUUGUAGCACUCUCUUUUGUAUCUUCUUAGAGGCUCCGUAGACAUUAUGUGGAUUGUAUAUGAGUGUUGGGAAGGUCAAUGGAUUAUGUUGUGUGUUGGACUCUUCUUCCACUAAAUCGUAAGGUGUAUGUAUUUUGAAACUUAACAAUGAUGUAACUAAUGAAGUGGCUUAGU
Molecule: long non-coding RNA, 1541 nt
Organism: Nicotiana attenuata
Lineage: Eukaryota; Viridiplantae; Streptophyta; Magnoliopsida; Solanales; Solanaceae
Exons: 3
Source: RefSeq, a predicted model, not a curated record